RNAcentral lists this ribosomal RNA (468 nucleotides) under uncultured bacterium. Its description in RNAcentral is "partial 16S ribosomal RNA". It matches the Rfam family "Bacterial small subunit ribosomal RNA", at positions 28 to 507 of the family's 1533-position model. The record is from RNAcentral.
GACGAACGCUGGCGGCGUGCUUAACACAUGCAAGUCGAACGGAAAGGCCCUGCUUUUGUGGGGUGCUCGAGUGGCGAACGGGUGAGUAACACGUGAGUAACCUGCCCUUGACCUUGGGAUAACUUCAGGAAACUGGGGCUAAUACCGGAUAGGAGCUCCUGCUGCAUGGUGGGGGUUGGAAAGUUUCGGCGGUUGGGGAUGGACUCGCGGCUUAUCAGCUUGUUGGUGGGGUAGUGGCUUACCAAGGCUUUGACGGGUAGCCGGCCUGAGAGGGUGACCGGCCACAUUGGGACUGAGAUACGGCCCAGACUCCUACGGGAGGCAGCAGUGGGGAAUAUUGCACAAUGGGCGGAAGCCUGAUGCAGCAACGCCGCGUGCGGGAUGACGGCCUUCGGGCUGUAAACCGCUUUCGCCUGUGACGAAGCGUGAGUGACGGUAAUGGGUAAAGAAGCACCGGCUAACUACGUG